GGAGACGUGGCCGAGUGGUUAUGGCGCAAGUUUCAGGUACUUGUGGGAAACCGCAUGGGUUCGAAUCCCAUCGUCUUCA
This 79-nucleotide transfer RNA is filed under the name Exophiala mesophila. RNAcentral describes it as "tRNA-Leu (CAG) (tRNA-Leu-CAG-1-1)". It matches the Rfam family "tRNA". From Rfam's summary of the family: Transfer RNA (tRNA) molecules are approximately 80 nucleotides in length. The record is from RNAcentral. Lineage: Eukaryota; Fungi; Ascomycota; Eurotiomycetes; Chaetothyriales; Herpotrichiellaceae.